Molecule: ribosomal RNA, 599 nt
Filed under: uncultured bacterium
Lineage: Bacteria
Description: bacterial SSU rRNA
Rfam family: Bacterial small subunit ribosomal RNA
Source: RNAcentral
AGAGUUUGAUCAUGGCUCAGGACGAACGCUGGCGGCGUGCUUAACACAUGCAAGUGGAGCGACGAACCAGGCUUCGGCCUGGGGCAGAGCCGCGAACGGGUGAGUAACACGUGGGUAACGUGCCCCGAUGACUGGGACAACCCGGGGAAACCCGGGCUAAUACCGGAUAUGCCCCCUCACGCGAGUGAGGUGUGUAAAGGAAGCUUCGGCCUCCGCAUCGGGAUCGGCCCGCGGCCCAUUAGCUUGUUGGUGAGGUAACGGCUCACCAAGGCUUCGAUGGGUAGCUGGUCUGAGAGGACGAUCAGCCACACUGGGACUGAGACACGGCCCAGACUCCUACGGGAGGCAGCAGUGGGGAAUCUUGCGCAAUGCGCGAAAGCGUGACGCAGCAACGCCGCGUGGGGGAAGAAGGCCUUCGGGUUGUAAACCCCUUUCAGUUGGGACGAAGGUCGGGCGGUUAAUAGCCGUUCCGUCUGACGGUACCUUCACAAGAAGCCCCGGCUAACUACGUGCCAGCAGCCGCGGUAAUACGUAGAGGGGCAAGCGUUGUCCGGAAUCAUUGGGCGUAAAGAGCGUGUACGGCGGCCCGGUAAGUCCGC